UGAGGAAUAUUGGUCAAUGGCCGGGAGGCUGAACCAGCCAAGUCGCGUGAGGGAUGACGGUCCUAUGGAUUGUAAACCUCUUUUGUCGGGGAGCAAAGAACGGCUCGUGAGCCGUGAUGAGAGUACCCGAAGAAAAAGCAUCGGCUAACUCCGUGCCAGCAGCCGCGGUAAUACGGAGGAUGCGAGCGUUAUCCGGAUUUAUUGGGUUUAAAGGGUGCGCAGGCGGAACGGUAAGUCAGCGGUAAAAUCGUGGGGCCCAACCCCAUCCCGCCGUUGAAACUGUCGUUCUUGAGUGAGCGAGAAGUAUGCGGAAUGCGUGGUGUAGCGGUGAAAUGCAUAGAUAUCACGCAGAACUCCGAUUGCGAAGGCAGCAUACCGGCGCUCAACUGACGCUCAUGCACGAAAGCGUGGGUAUCGAACAGG
Molecule: ribosomal RNA, 423 nt
Filed under: uncultured bacterium
Lineage: Bacteria
Description: bacterial SSU rRNA
Rfam family: Bacterial small subunit ribosomal RNA
Source: RNAcentral